GGGGAGGGAGGAGAGCAGGAGCGACGGCGAUGGCGACGGGAAGGAGGAGUGAGAACCCGCAGCUCUUUUUGAUUGGACUUGUGGCCACAAUUUUACAGCGAGAAAUUCCCCCGGCAGGCGUCAGUCGCAAUAAGAUGUUGACGAAUGUCUCCUGCCACCGGAGAGGCGGCGUGGGGCGGAUCUGACACGUCGGCGCUGGGCCGCGGCGCUGACAGCAGCCGUGCUGGCCGGGCCCCUGGGAGCACCGAGCACCGCGAGUCACGUACGGCAUCGCCGGUGACCAGCCCUUAACGAUGGAGACGGGUGCGGAGCGCCCAGGCUUCACCGCACCACAAUGGGCAACAAAGUCUUCCUUAACCGGACAUGUGUAGAAGAUGCUCUACGGAUUUCCUUCUUUUAAUAUCUGAAAAGGGUGAGGAACGGGCCAACAGGGCCCUCGAAGAGACGCUGCAGAGGCAGGAGCCAAAGCCCUGUGACGACAAAGAGGAAGGACGGUGCAGUGAAAGCAACGCAGAAGCAGGGAAGCAGCACGACUUCUCAGGAGGGGGGCACUGGUCCCCUGCUAGAUGAACGCUGGUGACACAGUCAAGGCAAACCCUGAGCAGAUCAAAGCUGCCUACAGGCCUCUGGGUGAGAUGCUAGUGACCCAAAAGGUGUUCUCCUCAAACCUCUGGUCAAGAAGAAAGGUCUUGGUGCGAGCAGAUGCAUCCUGCAGACUAAUACCUGACUGUCUCCAUAAAGGUUUUGACUUAUUUGAUCGUGGCACCCCCUUUUGAGGAAGAAAAGGGGCCAGUAGGAACAGCUGGAAUCCACCUGACAAACACGGGCAGAAGAAUUUUGCGCAAACAGACUUGUUAACCCAAAUAAGGACUACUUUAAACUAGGUUUGCCAGGGAAGGGGGAGAUUGGCCCAAAGUCAGUGAGGAAGUGGUGCAAACGGGGAAGGUAUGUGUGAGAGAGAGGAGAGGGGAAGUCGUCCACCUUCCUGCUCAGAAGUGAGGGCAUUCAGCAUUUACCUUGCACGCCUGUGCAGUGACGUGCCGAGCUUGUGCAAAAAGCCAGGAGAGCUGGAAGUCCAUGCACCGUCUCAGGGGGAUGCUGUGAGAGGCGACCUGGCCGGAGAGCACACGUGGCUGAAGCACGUAUGCAUGCACGAGCAGGGGCCAGUCAGGAAGGACAGGCAGCGAGGGAGGGCAGGCGGCUCUUGCUCUACCCACCUACGCAAAGCAGCUCUCCUCCAUGAAGGGGCUGCUAUGAAACCAAAGACACGUCCACUGGGAGUAUCUGGGCCAAAUCAGAGGGAUGCAUAUGAGUUAUUACCAUGGCAUGAAAACAGCAAAGUACAGAAAAGGCUGAACCUGGCAUCUUGCAAUGUUGUGCAACUACCAAACUAUCAAGAACAAGGAAAUAAUUUUUGGUAGUUCUAUAUCUGAAGAAUGCUGUAUCUAUUCAGAAGUAUCAUACCAUUUUAUUUCAGUUCUAUGUAUCCACUCAUUAAAAAUUUCUAAUAAGAAAUGUGUGAAAGACAGGAGGGAGAAAAUCAAGACUACUUUUGCCUCGUAAAUGAAUUGCCACGUAUUCUGUCUAAACCAACAUCAGCACGGGAAUAAGCCCAAACAGCUUUUUGAGACUGGCGUGGGAACGACUGGCAAUGCUUCGUGAGCGAUACCGAAGCGCUGCCAUCGCGCUGUUUGCAGAGCGGAAGAAUGAAGCUGUUUCCAGAGGGGAAAGGCAGCAUCGUUCUGUGAAGGGAUGUGAAAGAUGAUGUGGGUGCAAUCCAUCGUCAUGAUCACAUAAGGGAACCCUGAAAUGUCAUAAAAUCCCAUUUUGAUCUGUUGUCACUACUGUUGGUUGUAUGGAAAAUUAACACAUUUA
Dromaius novaehollandiae (emu) is the source of this 1875-nucleotide long non-coding RNA. RefSeq lists it as uncharacterized. The transcript has 4 exons. The record is from RefSeq and is a predicted model, not a curated record. Lineage: Eukaryota; Metazoa; Chordata; Aves; Casuariiformes; Dromaiidae.